This 461-nucleotide ribosomal RNA is filed under the name uncultured Sphingobacteriales bacterium. RNAcentral's name for it is "bacterial SSU rRNA". It matches the Rfam family "Bacterial small subunit ribosomal RNA", at positions 923 to 1382 of the family's 1533-position model. The record is from RNAcentral. Lineage: Bacteria; Pseudomonadati; Bacteroidota; Sphingobacteriia; Sphingobacteriales.
GCACAAGCGGAGGAGCAUGUUGGUUUAAUUCGAUGAUACGCGAGGAACCGUUACCUGGGCUCGAACGUAAGAUGACUGUAGGUGAAAGCUUACAUCUCUUCGGAGCAUUUUUACGAGGUGCUGCAUGGUUGUCGUCAGCUCGUGCCGUGAGGUGUCGGGUUAAGUCCCAUAACGAGCGCAACCCUACCUUUAGUUGCCAUCAGGUAAUGCUGGGGACUCUAAAGGAACUGCCUACGCAAGUAGUGAGGAAGGCGGGGAUGACGUCAAAUCAGCACGGCCCUUACGUCCAGGGCUACACACGUGCUACAAUGGCCGAUACAGAGGGCAGCUACCUGGUGACAGGAUGCAAAUCUCCAAAGUCGGUCUCAGUUCGGAUCGGAGUCUGCAACCCGACUCCGUGAAGUUGGAUUCGCUAGUAAUCGCGCAUCAGCCAUGGCGCGGUGAAUACGUUCCCGGGCCUU